This 253-nucleotide ribosomal RNA is filed under the name uncultured bacterium. RNAcentral describes it as "partial 16S ribosomal RNA". It matches the Rfam family "Bacterial small subunit ribosomal RNA", at positions 524 to 776 of the family's 1533-position model. The record is from RNAcentral.
UACGGAGGGGGCUAGCGUUGUUCGGAAUUACUGGGCGUAAAGCGUGCGCAGGCUGUUUUGCAAGUCAGGGGUGAAAUCCCAGGGCUCAACCCUGGAAUUGCCUUUGAGACUGCGAGACUAGGGGGAGGGAGAGGUGAGUGGAAUUCCCAGUGUAGAGGUGAAAUUCGUAGAUAUUGGGAAGAACGCCCGUGGCGAAGGCGGAUCAAUGGCCCUCUACCGACGCUCAUGCACGACAGCGUGGGGAGCAAACAGG